AGACAGGUGCUGCAUGGCUGUCGUCAGCUCGUGUUGUGAAAUGUUGGGUUAAGUCCCGCAACGAGCGCAACCCUUAUCCUUUGUUGCCAGCGGUUAGGCCGGGAACUCAAAGGAGACUGCCAGUGAUAAACUGGAGGAAGGUGGGGAUGACGUCAAGUCAUCAUGGCCCUUACGACCAGGGCUACACACGUGCUACAAUGGCAUAUACAAAGAGAAGCGACCUCGCGAGAGCAAGCGGACCUCAUAAAGUAUGUCGUAGUCCGGAUUGGAGUCUGCAACUCGACUCCAUGAAGUCGGAAUCGCUAGUAAUCGUAGAUCAGAAUGCUACGGUGAAUACGUUCCCGGGCCUUGUACACACCGCCCGUCACACCAUGGGAGUGGGUUGCAAAAGAAGUAGGUAGCUUAACCUUCGGGAGGGCGCUUACCACUUUGUGAUUCAUGACUGGGGUGAAGUCGUAACAAGGUAACCGUAGGGGAACCUGCGGUUGG
RNAcentral lists this ribosomal RNA (489 nucleotides) under Klebsiella pneumoniae. RNAcentral's name for it is "bacterial SSU rRNA". It matches the Rfam family "Bacterial small subunit ribosomal RNA", at positions 1032 to 1521 of the family's 1533-position model. RNAcentral also lists the same sequence under 1 other name. The record is from RNAcentral. Lineage: Bacteria; Pseudomonadati; Pseudomonadota; Gammaproteobacteria; Enterobacterales; Enterobacteriaceae.